Molecule: ribosomal RNA, 373 nt
Filed under: uncultured bacterium
Lineage: Bacteria
Description: bacterial SSU rRNA
Rfam family: Bacterial small subunit ribosomal RNA
Source: RNAcentral
GACGAACGCUGGCGGCGUGCUUAACACAUGCAAGUCGAGCGGUAAGGCCCUUUCGGGGGUACACGAGCGGCGAACGGGUGAGUAACACGUGGGUGACCUGCCCUCAGCUCUGGGAUAAGCCUGGGAAACCGGGUCUAAUACUGGAUAUGACUCCAUGACGCAUGUUGUGGGGUGGAAAGCCUUGUGCGGCUGAGGAUGGGCCCGCGGCCUAUCAGCUUGUUGGUGGGGUGAUGGCCUACCAAGGCGACGACGGGUAGCCGGCCUGAGAGGGCGACCGGCCACACUGGGACUGAGACACGGCCCAGACUCCUACGGGAGGCAGCAGUGGGGAAUCUUGCGCAAUGGGCGAAAGCCUGACGCAGCGACGCCGCGU